ACGGGUGAGUAACACGUGGGAACGUGCCCUCCGGUCUGGGAUAACCCUGGGAAACUAGGGCUAAUACCGGAUACGUGCUUUGGCAGAAAGGUUUACUGCCGGAGGAUCGGCCCGCGUCCGAUUAGCUAGUUGGUGGGGUAACGGCCUACCAAGGCGACGAUCAGUAGCUGGUCUGAGAGGAUGAUCAGCCACACUGGGACUGAGACACGGCCCAGACUCCUACGGGAGGCAGCAGUGGGGAAUAUUGGACAAUGGGCGCAAGCCUGAUCCAGCCAUGCCGCGUGAGUGAUGACGGCCUUAGGGUUGUAAAGCUCUUUUCUCCGGGACGAUAAUGACGGUACCGGAGGAAUAAGCCCCGGCUAACUUCGUGCCAGCAGCCGCGGUAAUACGAAGGGGGCUAGCGUUGCUCGGAAUCACUGGGCGUAAAGGGCGCGUAGGCGGCGUUUUAAGUCGGGGGUGAAAGCCUGUGGCUCAACCACAGAAUGGCCUUCGAUACUGGGACGCUUGAGUCUGGUAGAGGUUGGUGGAACUGCGAGUGUAGAGGUGAAAUUCGUAGA
This 557-nucleotide ribosomal RNA is filed under the name uncultured bacterium. RNAcentral describes it as "bacterial SSU rRNA". It matches the Rfam family "Bacterial small subunit ribosomal RNA", at positions 102 to 694 of the family's 1533-position model. The record is from RNAcentral.